This 740-nucleotide long non-coding RNA is filed under the name Homo sapiens (human). RNAcentral describes it as "non-protein coding lnc-ACAD11-4:3". Lineage: Eukaryota; Metazoa; Chordata; Mammalia; Primates; Hominidae. The record is from RNAcentral.
AACAGAAGAAACAGUGGCUUGAGCCUCUUCUUCAAGGGAACAUUACCUCUUGCUUCUGUAUGACAGAACCUGAUGUAGCUUCAAGUGAUGCCACGAAUAUUGAAUGCAGCAUCCAACGAGAUGAAGAUAGCUAUGUAAUUAACGGCAAAAAAUGGUGGAGCAGUGGAGCUGGGAAUCCCAAGUGCAAAAUUGCAAUUGUUUUGGGAAGAACUCAAAAUACUUCUCUCUCCAGAUCACAGCCUGCAUCAGACUAUGUUGGUGUACGUCUUUUACACAGUUCCCAUUCCAGUCAUCACUGCUUACAUGACUACAUGAAAACAUCAAAAAGACAAUUGUGAUUCUGCUUAUUAUCUGUUUUAUUUUUCUUCUUAGCAAACUUUUUCUAAUACAAUUUUUCUUUUGACUAGACACAAACAGCACAGCAUGAUUCUUGUUCCCAUGAACACACCUGGAGUAAAAAUAAUAAGGCCUUUGUCAGUUUUUGGCUACACAGGUAGGUAUCCAAUAAAUAUGACCAUGCAUUAGCAAGCAGGAAGGCUAGAAUAUGCAGUAACAUUGAAGGCAAUAGCAUUUUAAUGCAUAAGAUAGAUUCUUAGAUAUUCCUUUGUCUGUGACAACUGUCUUAAUAUAAAUGCUGGUGGAGUUCAGAGUAGAGCCAAUAAAAAGAAAUAGUAUAGCAUUUAUGUAAUUUAUAAUUAUAUAAAUUAUAGAAUUUAUAGAAUAUAAAUUCUGCCUUUUUG